This is a small nucleolar RNA of Otolemur garnettii (small-eared galago), 71 nucleotides long. Its record names the gene SNORD26. It matches the Rfam family "Small nucleolar RNA SNORD26". From Rfam's summary of the family: U26 is a member of the C/D class of snoRNA which contain the C (UGAUGA) and D (CUGA) box motifs. U26 is encoded within the U22 snoRNA host gene (UHG) in mammals and is thought to act as a 2'-O-ribose methylation guide for ribosomal RNA. Lineage: Eukaryota; Metazoa; Chordata; Mammalia; Primates; Galagidae. The record is from Ensembl.
CUUGGGGAUGAUUUUAAGAAUUGAACUCUCUCUCUGAUGGAGUAGUAGAGAGAACAAAAAUUCUUACUAGC